AUUCCAUGAUAAGAACACUCGAGUAUAUAAUCUUGAAAGCGCUCCUAGGCUUCUGGGACUGUCUCAUCAUGUUGUUGUUAAAAAUUUGAUAUCUUCCCACGAAGAGC
RNAcentral lists this small nucleolar RNA (107 nucleotides) under Sorghum bicolor (sorghum). Its description in RNAcentral is "Plant small nucleolar RNA R71". It matches the Rfam family "Plant small nucleolar RNA R71". Rfam says of the family: R71 is a member of the C/D box family of snoRNAs containing the C (UGAUGA) and D (CUGA) box motifs. Multiple nearly identical copies of this snoRNA have been identified in Arabidopsis, and it is thought to function as a 2'-O-ribose methylation guide for 18S ribosomal RNA. The record is from Rfam by way of RNAcentral. Lineage: Eukaryota; Viridiplantae; Streptophyta; Magnoliopsida; Poales; Poaceae.